This is a non-coding RNA of Aspergillus coremiiformis, 71 nucleotides long. The record is from the annotation of a GenBank genome assembly. NCBI's taxonomy places the organism in Eukaryota, Fungi, Ascomycota, Eurotiomycetes, Eurotiales, Aspergillaceae.
GCAUCAUUGGUCUAGUGGUAGAAUUCAUCGUUCCCAUUGAUGAGGCCCGUGUUCGAUUCACGGAUGAUGCA